This 108-nucleotide ribosomal RNA is filed under the name Hydrilla verticillata (hydrilla). Its description in RNAcentral is "5.8S ribosomal RNA". It matches the Rfam family "5.8S ribosomal RNA", at positions 35 to 139 of the family's 154-position model. Rfam says of the family: 5.8S ribosomal RNA (5.8S rRNA) is a component of the large subunit of the eukaryotic ribosome. The record is from RNAcentral. Lineage: Eukaryota; Viridiplantae; Streptophyta; Magnoliopsida; Alismatales; Hydrocharitaceae.
GAUGAAGAACGUAGCGAAAUGCGAUAUAUGGUGUGAAUUGCAGAAUCCCGUGAACCAUCGAGUCUUUGAACGCAAGUUGCGCCUGAAGGUCGUGAGGCCGAAGGCACG